CUACGGGUGGCUGCAGUGAGGAAUAUUGCGCAAUGGGGGAAACCCUGACGCAGCGACGCCGCGUGGAUGAUGAAGGCCUUAGGGUCGUAAAAUCCUGUCAGGUGGGAAGAAGUGGAUAUAGAUUAAUACUCUAUUUCUUUGACGGUACCACCAAAGGAAGCACCGGCUAACUCCGUGCCAGCAGCCGCGGUAAUACGGAGGGUGCAAACGUUGUUCGGAAUUACUGGGCGUAAAGCGCGCGUAGGCGGUUUGUUAAGUCCGAUGUGAAAGUCCAUGGCUCAACUAUGGAAGUGCAUUUGAAACUGGCAGACUUGUGUACGGGAAGGGGUGAUGGAAUUCCCGGUGUAGAGGUGGAAUUCGUAGAUAUCGGGAGGAAUACCGGUGGCGAGGGCGAUCACCUGGCCAGAUACUGACGCUGAGGUGCGAAAGCGUGGGGAGCAAACAGGAUUAGAUACCCGUGUAGUC
Molecule: ribosomal RNA, 465 nt
Filed under: uncultured bacterium
Lineage: Bacteria
Description: partial 16S ribosomal RNA
Rfam family: Bacterial small subunit ribosomal RNA
Source: RNAcentral